RNAcentral lists this transfer RNA (73 nucleotides) under Myotis brandtii (Brandt's bat). It matches the Rfam family "tRNA". Rfam says of the family: Transfer RNA (tRNA) molecules are approximately 80 nucleotides in length. Their secondary structure includes four short double-helical elements and three loops (D, anti-codon, and T loops). Further hydrogen bonds mediate the characteristic L-shaped molecular structure. tRNAs have two regions of fundamental functional importance: the anti-codon, which is responsible for specific mRNA codon recognition, and the 3' end, to which the tRNAs corresponding amino acid is attached (by aminoacyl-tRNA synthetases). tRNAs cope with the degeneracy of the genetic code in two manners: having more than one tRNA (with a specific anti-codon) for a particular amino acid; and 'wobble' base-pairing, i.e. permitting non-standard base-pairing at the 3rd anti-codon position. Lineage: Eukaryota; Metazoa; Chordata; Mammalia; Chiroptera; Vespertilionidae. The record is from Rfam by way of RNAcentral.
GCCAGUUUGGCUCAGUGGGUAGAGCGUCGGCCUGUGGACUGAAGGGUCCUGGGUUCAAUUCCCAGUCAGGGCA